AGAGUUUGAUCCUGGCUCAGGAUGAACGCUAGCUACAGGCUUAACACAUGCAAGUCGAGGGGAAACGACAUCGAAAGCUUGCUUUUGAUGGGCGUCGACCGGCGCACGGGUGAGUAACGCGUAUCCAACCUGCCCACCACUUGGGGAUAACCUUGCGAAAGUAAGACUAAUACCCAAUGACGUCUCUAGAAGACAUCUGAAAGAGAUUAAAGAUUUAUCGGUGAUGGAUGGGGAUGCGUCUGAUUAGCUUGUUGGCGGGGUAACGGCCACCAGGGGCGACGAUCAGUAGGGGUUCUGAGAGGAAGGUCCCCCANAUUGGAACUGAAGACACGGUCCAAACUCCUACGGGAGGCA
This 354-nucleotide ribosomal RNA is filed under the name uncultured bacterium. RNAcentral describes it as "bacterial SSU rRNA". It matches the Rfam family "Bacterial small subunit ribosomal RNA", at positions 8 to 350 of the family's 1533-position model. The record is from RNAcentral.